This is a long non-coding RNA of Anas platyrhynchos (mallard), 4943 nucleotides long. RefSeq lists it as uncharacterized. NCBI's taxonomy places the organism in Eukaryota, Metazoa, Chordata, Aves, Anseriformes, Anatidae. The record is from RefSeq and is a predicted model, not a curated record.
UUCCUGUUCCCCUUUCCCCUUUUAUCUUUUUACAUUUUUUUCUUUUUUCCUUUUUUUUUCCCUUUUUUUUAUUUUAUUUUUUUUCAUACCACAGCUGUGGGCACUUCACAGCUGAGUGGGGACCUGAUGAGCAAAGAUCCACAGCUGGAGUGGGUGGUGCUGGUGGAUGGUAGGGGGGACGCUUGGGGCACCCUGCAUGUAGGCUUUAAAUACAGAAAAAAGCAGAUUAUUUAGCUAUGUAAAAAACAGCACAUUUAUUAAUUUUACAGGACAGUGCCCAAUGCACAAUGGCACUGGCCCUGAACCCAGCUGCACUUUGUCAGAGCCGUGUGCUGUGCUCUAAGGCCAAGCUGGGCUCUCGCCUGUUGGGUCUUCUCUCUGGGCUUGGGACACUGCUGCUUGGGCUCGGCGGGGAUCUGGGCUCAUUUGGCCGGGUUUGGGGCUUGGGCACAGGACUGAGUUGGGUGAGCUUGGAAAUGGAGCUGAGCUCUGUGUUUCGGGGGCUUGCGAAGAGGCCCAGUGUGCUGCUACUGAGGCUUGAAAACAGGGACCCCGUGCUGGGGUUCCAAAGCAAGAUGAAGAUGAAAAUGAAACAAAGCAGAAGCGAGUGGGAAGUGAACCAAAGAUCUCCAGCAGGGCUAGGAGAUGUCUGCUGUCUAAAGGUGUGGAUUUCUGCGAGCUGGAGGCACAAUAUGUUCAGGAUGUUCUGGGCUAAUAAAUCAAUAAAUCCAACCUGAAUCAGUCAAUGCCUAUACAAUGCACGACUAUGGCACUGAAGAUUAAUAUUCAAGGUAUGACAGUGACUAACUUAUGACCUUGUCUAAAGUCCAAACUGUUUGAACAAGUACAGGCUGUAGCUUUGUGGAGCUGGAAGGAUCCAGGGCUCCCUGGAUGCCUGUGCUCCCUGCAGUGUCCCAUCUGCUCAGUAAAGCAACAACAUAAAGCAAUGGUGAGCUGCAUCCACAAACAGCCCCAGCUGCAGGAGAAACCAAUCCCAGGUGGGUGCAGGUCCCUCAUCCAGCCCCAGCAGCCCCACAGGAUGUGCCCUGACACCCGUGGCCAAACACUGCUGCUAACCUUAAACCAGGAGCUACCAGCCACCACCGUGUGAGUUGUGCCUCAUGAUCCACCUGCAGGAACUGAAAGGAUCUGUGCCAAAACCUGUGUGUGAAGAGAGUGGUGUAUCCUGGGAAGUGCAGUGUAUCUUCUGGGUUUGGGCCUUUGCAAGAGGUACUGCCUUUUCCAGAAGCUGCAAUUCGCUAUUUUCCUGACCUGCGUCUCUCUGUUGCUGUCCUACUGCACUUCGGUCAUGUGCAACUAAAACUUCUUGUCAGUCCCACUUCUGGAUGCUGAGGCUGAAGCUCAGAGCAUGAGUACAUCUUUGGCUUGCCAAGCAGAGGAGCUGGAAAAUAGACCAAAAAGAUUAAGAGCUACUUCAGCGUUUUUGUCAGAAGGCUCAUGCCAACAUGAUGACUGUCUAGCAGCUUUUCAUGCCGGUCCACGUGCAUCUAAUUAUUAGCUGUGUGUCUCGUGAAAUGAUUUAAGUGACAUGAGUUCCAGAGCAAGCGAUUGCUGCGCACCUUUCAAGUUUUGUUGGUCACGAAGUGUGUUCCAGUGAAAAGAAAGCAGGCCUGCUCAGGCACUUCUUGCACAGCCAACAGAAGACAGCCCUAAGAUGUUUCAGCACUGGUGUGAGCCCCGCUGCUCCAUCUACUUCACCAGCUCUUGUUACAGACACCAGUCCUGUGUUUACCAUGCACCUGCUGAAAUACGAAGCUGCACAGAAUUGUAAGGAUCAAGGUGUCUGAGGUGUGUUCCUGAGAACCUGACUGUGAUGGAGACCUUGGAGUUUUACCUGGAAAGACCUAUGUUUCUCAGCAUAGAGAGUAGCAGACAUCUGUAUCCUUAACGCUUCCUUCAUGAUGAUGGACACUACAAUGAAUCUUGAUGAUGCCUAGUAUGUCCCAAGAAGCAUAGAUUUCUUUGAAGGCUUUGUGUACUUCUGAUAUAACUUGAGGGCUUCAGGUGGAAUAGCAGAUGAAAGUCCAGUGUUCUUAGAAAACAUUGUAGUAUUGGCUUCAAAACCUGUCUGCUUAUUGCAAUCUACAAAGUCAAGACAAUUUAAUUAAAAGGAUGAGAGAAUUUUCUGCCGGAGAACAGCCUGUGACUGCGAGACCCCCAGUGCUGAUCUCUUCUGCUGCUCAGAGUGUGACUAGUCACAUCACCAGCCAGUGGCUCAACCAAAUGGGGCGCAAGCUCUACUACAGUGGGGACAACUGGACCUACAGCUGUCACCAGUGCUGUUGCCUGGAAGGAGAAGUGGACUGUUGGCCUGUUCUGUGCCCCAAUCUAAACUUUAAGUACGCAGCCAUGUCAGAAGGAGAGUGCUGUCCCUGCUGCGUCAGUGACCCCUGCCUGGCUGACAACAUCACCUAUGACAUCAGGAAAACCUGUCUAGAUGGCUCUGGAAUUACAAGACUUAGUGGCGCUAUAUGGACCGUGGUGGGAUCUCCUUGUACAACCUGCAAAUGCAAAGUACGAUGGACAAGGUUGAAUGGUAAUGGAAAUGUUGGUUGCUACAUAAAAACAGGGUCGUUUUCUGCCGUUGGAAGCUCAUAUUCAGAUUGCUGCAAAGUGAAUCAGACCUGAGGGCAGAAAAAGUAGCAUACCAAAACAAUUAUGUGGUCUGCAGGGUGGAAACAGAACAAUCUGUGCUUGUUUUCUUAAAAAUGUUAAUCACAGCUAUGUAAUAUCCUAGCACAACUUACAGGCAUUCUGUUGGCGAGCAUUUCAGGCAUUUUUAGUAUGAAACUAGGCUAACAUUUUAAUAAUUAAUUCAUGUGAAUGUUUAUGAAAAUGUCUUUUGCAGAGCUGGUAAGCAGAGUCAAGAAUACUAAUACAAGUUUCACCAGCAAGUAUAUAAGUAGAAACCCCAUAUGAAGGCACUUCCAUAAGAGAAGUGGGAGGGAAACGUCACAGUUUCUAUUUCCUAACCAAAUCAUCAUGUAUUCUGUCCAGUGGCUUUCAGGCAGAAGAACAGUCUGUCUCCCCUUUUCCAUGCAGUGGUGGUCCCACUGGGCUACUUUUCUGUGACCUCUCUUGUGUACUAUCCCUGAUCUCAAAAAUUUUGUAUGGUUUUCUGAUCAGUGGGCCAGCAUGAACAGGGAGAGAGCAAGAGCACGUCUGCUUUAUUUGCUGCUCUCUGAGUAGAUCAGAGAGGUCACUGUAGGGAGUACUCUAACCCAUAAGUAUGUACAUAAUGAACACUGCCAGCAGUUCUACAGAGAAAGGGUAAAGGCGUUUGUCUCUAAACAAGGUAGAUAAUGCAGAGCAGUGUGUGCCAGGAGGAGCUCCAAGCUAGCAAGCUCAGCCUCCCCAGAGUGCCUACUUUGGGGCUGCCCAAGUGUAGGAGGGACCAGGGCCAGAAAAAUUAUUUUCCAUCAUUUUCUGGAAGUUGUUUCAGGCAUUGUUUUCCCAGCUGUUCUCCUGUCACAGUGUCUGCAGUGUGAACCUUGUGCCUGGAUGCUGCACUUCCCCAUUUACUGGGCUUACAGUUUGAAAUCGUAACCUUUCUGGCAUCUGGUCUGGUCCACUAGGUUCUUGCCUGCUUCUGCCCUCUGCCACAGUUCACUGCCCUUCAGUUGUACAGGAGUAAAUGUUUUAGAGGCUGUGAUACAAGCAGAAAUGACAACAUGGACCGGAUUAAAAAGGGCAAUUUUCUGUGAAAUUAUACUUAUACAAAGGUGAUGCUCAGAUCUAGAAUAUGGUGUUCCUCACAAAAGAAUAAAGUGAAGAUCACUUACUUUUUCCUCACCACUUACAAAUUAUCUUAAGGUAGUUGUCACCAAAGCCAGUCGCUGUGGACUUAAGGCUGUAGUAGAUACAUUCUGUUUACAAAGGACUAAUAAAAACCAGAUGACAGUACCCUGUUUGCUGCUAUUUUCAGACUCCAUGGAAGCAUGAACUCUGUGCUUUGUAUCACUCUAAGUCGAAAACUGAUCUUCUCUUGCUUUUUAACAAAAAUUAAUGAACAGAAUUAUGAAAAUAUUGCAUUGUAUUACAUAAAAUAUUCUUGUGUUCACUGUGGGAAACCAAGCUGUUGUUUCUAGGCUUUAAAUUAUUCAAGUUAGCUUUUCUGCCAUUCUUCAGAGUUUUUCCUAUUGAUUAAACCAAGAAUCUGAGAAAUGGGCUUAUUUCAGAAAAAUCGAGAGCUUCCCAGUAUGGAUCAGAUUAAAACUCUAUAUGUCAACUUUCUUGCAUGGGACAAACCAAAUCGAAUCAUCUUUGUUGCCAUUGUUGUAUUGUGUCCUUCACAGGAAGAAGGUGAGUAUUAAGGAAAGCCGUGGAUGAAACAGUGCAGAGGGAAAGUAGGAUUUACUUAUUGGAUGAGCUGUAAGACCACAUUUCUCAGAGCUGAUGGAUUCUCAUUGGGAUGUCACGUUGCAUUUGUGCACUAGGGAUGCACGUAAAGGGGUGUGGGUGGGCAAAUAAAGUACAAUGAUGCAAAUAGUCAAGGUAUCCCAAUGAUUGUGGAUGCCAAUAGAGAACCGAAUCCAGAAUCAAUUAAUUGGUAGCAACUCCUCUGUAUACUAUGAUAUGAAUUCAUUAGUUAUUUACUACCUACAAUGAAUUAAUUCAGCACUAAACUACCUUAAGCAGCAUUUCCUUAUGGGACUUACAGUUUGUAGGCUGAAGGCCCAGCUGUGUCUUAGCUGACAGUAAUGAACGUGCUGUGGCUAAUUGAAGUGGGAGGUGUUACGGUUGCGGUAUUCAGCUGACUCAGUGUUGACAACUCAAGUCAUUUCUUUUAAAAAAAACAAGUCAGGCUCAGCAAAUUUUGGCUGACUAAAACAAAAUAAAGUUAUUUUUGUGUCCUGUGUUCUAAGUUUUAGGCUCCUGAAAAAAGGUUUCUGAGCUGCCAAAAUAAAAUAUUUUUUCCGUGC